This 700-nucleotide ribosomal RNA is filed under the name uncultured bacterium. RNAcentral's name for it is "bacterial SSU rRNA". It matches the Rfam family "Bacterial small subunit ribosomal RNA", at positions 94 to 823 of the family's 1533-position model. The record is from RNAcentral.
AGUGGCGGACGGGUGAGUAACACGUAAGAAUUUGCCUUUAGGAGGGGGACAACAACUGGAAACGGUUGCUAAUACCCCAUAUGCUUUCGAGUGAAACGGAUUUUUCCGCCUAAAGAGAAGCUUGCGGCUGAUUAGCUUGUUGGUGAGGUAAUGGCUCACCAAGGCGACGAUCAGUAUCUGGUUUGAGAGGACGAUCAGACACACUGGAACUGAGACACGGUCCAGACUCCUACGGGAGGCAGCAGUGGGGAAUUUUCCGCAAUGGGCGAAAGCCUGACGGAGCAAUACCGCGUGAGGGAUGACGGCCUAUGGGUUGUAAACCUCUUUUUUCAGGGAGGAAUCAAAUGACGUGUACCUGAAGAAUAAGCAUCGGCUAACUCCGUGCCAGCAGCCGCGGUAAGACGGGGGAUGCAAGUGUUAUCCGGAAUCACUGGGCGUAAAGCGUCUGUAGGUGGUCAAAUAAGUCAACUGUUAAAUCUUGAGGCUCAACCUCAAAAUCGCAGUCGAAACUAUUAGACUAGAGUAUAGUAGGGGUAAAGGGAAUUUCCAGUGGAGCGGUGAUAUGCGUAGAGAUUGGAAAGAACACCGAUGGCGAAGGCACUUUACUGGGCUAUUACUAACACUCAGAGACGAAAGCUAGGGUAGCAAAUGGGAUUAGAUACCCCAGUAGUCCUAGCCGUAAACAAUGGAUACUAGAUGU